GACGAACGCUGGCGGCGUGCUUAACACAUGCAAGUCGAACGGAAAGGCCUUGCUUUUGUGGGGUGCUCGAGUGGCGAACGGGUGAGUAACACGUGAGUAACCUGCCCUUGACUUUGGGAUAACUUCAGGAAACUGGGGCUAAUACCGGAUAGGAGCUCCUGCUGCAUGGUGGGGGUUGGAAAGUUUCGGCGGUUGGGGAUGGACUCGCGGCUUAUCAGCUUGUUGGUGGGGUAGUGGCUUACCAAGGCUUUGACGGGUAGCCGGCCUGAGAGGGUGACCGGCCACAUUGGGACUGAGAUACGGCCCAGACUCCUACGGGGGGCAGCAGUGGGGAAUAUUGCACAAUGGGCGGAAGCCUGAUGCAGCAACGCCGCGUGCGGGAUGACGGCCUUCGGGUUGUAAACCGCUUUCGCCUGUGACGAAGCGUGAGUGACGGUAAUGGGUAAAGAAGCACCGGCUAACUACGUG
Molecule: ribosomal RNA, 468 nt
Filed under: uncultured bacterium
Lineage: Bacteria
Description: partial 16S ribosomal RNA
Rfam family: Bacterial small subunit ribosomal RNA
Source: RNAcentral